GUGGGGAAUCUUCCGCAAUGGACGAAAGUCUGACGGAGCAACGCCGCGUGAACGAUGACGGCCUUCGGGUUGUAAAGUUCUGUUAUACGGGACGAAUGGUACGACGGCCAAUACCCGUCGUAAGUGACGGUACCAUAAGAGAAAGCCACGGCUAACUACGUGCCAGCAGCCGCGGUAACACGUAGGUGGCAAGCGUUGUCCGGAAUCAUUGGGCGUAAAGGGCGCGCAGGCGGCGUCGGAAGUCGGUCAUAAGAGUGCGGGGCUUAGCCCCGUGAGGGGACCGAAACUGCGAUGCUAGAGUAUCGGAGAGGAAAGCGGAAUUCCUAGUGUAGCGGUGAAAUGCGUAGAUAUUAGGAGGAACACCAGUGGCGAAAGCGGCUUUCUGGACGACAACUGACGCUGAGGCGCGAAAGCCAGGGGAGCAAACGGGAUUAGAUACCCCGGUAGUCC
This 450-nucleotide ribosomal RNA is filed under the name uncultured bacterium. Its description in RNAcentral is "partial 16S ribosomal RNA". It matches the Rfam family "Bacterial small subunit ribosomal RNA", at positions 354 to 796 of the family's 1533-position model. The record is from RNAcentral.